CACGUAGGGUGCGAGCGUUGUCCGGAUUCAUUGGGCGUAAAGAGCGUGUAGGCGGCCAGGUAGGUCGGUUGUGAAAACUGGAGGCUCAACCUUCAGAGGUCGACCGAAACCAUCUGGCUAGAGUCCGGGAGAGGAGAGUGGAAUUCCUGGUGUAGCGGUGAAAUGCGCAGAUAUCAGGAAGAACACCCGUGGCGAAAGCGGCUCUCUGGAACGGUACUGACGCUGAGACGCGAAAGCGUGGGGAGCGAACGGG
This 253-nucleotide ribosomal RNA is filed under the name uncultured bacterium. RNAcentral's name for it is "partial 16S ribosomal RNA". It matches the Rfam family "Bacterial small subunit ribosomal RNA", at positions 524 to 776 of the family's 1533-position model. The record is from RNAcentral.